AUUGAACGCUGGCGGCAUGCCUUACACAUGCAAGUCGAACGGCAGCACGGGUGCUUGCACCUGGUGGCGAGUGGCGAACGGGUGCGUAAUACAUCGGAACAUGUCUUGUAGUGGGGGAUAGCCCGGCGAAAGCCGGAUUAAUACCGCAUACGAACUCCGGAUGAAAGCGGGGGACCUUCGGGCCUCGCGCUAUAGGGUUGGCCGAUGGCUGAUUAGCUAGUUGGUGGGGUAAAGGCCUACCAAGGCGACGAUCAGUAGCUGGUCUGAGAGGACGACCAGCCACACUGGAACUGAGACACGGCCUAGACUCCUACGGGAGGCAGCAGUGGGGAAUAUUGGACAAUGGGCGAAAGCCUGAUCCAGCAAUGCCGCGUGUGUGAAGAAGGCCUUCGGGUUGUAAAGCACUUUUGUCCGGAAAGAAAUCCUUGGCCCUAAUACGGUCGGGGGAUGACGGUACCGGAAGAAUAAGCACCGGCUAACUACGUG
This 486-nucleotide ribosomal RNA is filed under the name uncultured bacterium. RNAcentral describes it as "partial 16S ribosomal RNA". It matches the Rfam family "Bacterial small subunit ribosomal RNA", at positions 30 to 507 of the family's 1533-position model. The record is from RNAcentral.